Molecule: long non-coding RNA, 774 nt
Filed under: Phoenix dactylifera (date palm)
Lineage: Eukaryota; Viridiplantae; Streptophyta; Magnoliopsida; Arecales; Arecaceae
Description: long non-coding RNA (PDAC_LNC017516)
Source: RNAcentral
GAUGGUUCUAUCGCGUCAGUUUUUCCAUCUUCAGUUCUGAUUAAGCAGGAGCUAAAUCUUCUAACAGGGUAAGCCUAGAUCCAGAAGGAUCAUCAGGCUCAAUAUGGACCACUUUAGCCACUGCAAGCAUGGUAUGCCGUACCGGCCCAAACCGGACGGUUUCGAGCCGGUACAGGGCGUACCAUAUUAUACUGGUUUGGUAUUGGUAUCUGAUAUAGGUGGCGUACCGACACUCGGUAUGCCAAAAAAUCUCAUAACAUACUGACAACGUGUUAGUAUAACACCAGUACGGGAUUCGAUACCGAGACGACAAAUCUUGACUACGAGUAUUCGGAAGGAUCACCAAACUUGAUUUGGACCACUUUGGCCAUUAUGAACUAGACUAGACAGGAUCUAGGAGCGAGAUCUUCCGUAUCGAAAAGUCGAGUCGCAUACCAAACUUCCGAAGGCCAAACUCGGUCAUAUGGUGCCCGAUUAAGAUGAUCCUUUUUUUUAAUUUGGUAGCUUUUCGAGAUCUACAAGUAAAAGGUUGAAUUGGGAUGAAAUUCCUCCGUUAGGCACUGAAGUGGGCUGGUCAAACCAAAAAUUUUCUUUUUAGGUAAGAAUUUGACCAAGCAUAGCUUUCGAUCUGAGAAUAAUCAAGUAGAGCGAUAGAAAGCAGAGUUGAUAAAGAAGUCGAAAUCUACCUUCUUAAAAAUUUUAGUUUUUCUAGAAUAUUUUUAAAUUUUAGCUUUUUUAGAAUAUUUCUAUUGGUUAUAUUUAUUUUAGAAUUCG